RNAcentral lists this long non-coding RNA (753 nucleotides) under Chloebia gouldiae (Gouldian finch). RNAcentral describes it as "Erythrura gouldiae (Gouldian finch) lncRNA (ENSEGOG00005010189.1)". The record is from RNAcentral. Lineage: Eukaryota; Metazoa; Chordata; Aves; Passeriformes; Passeridae.
AGUUGGGGAAUCCCCCGGGGGUGGUCUGGGGCCAUUUGGGGUGCAGGCCCCCCUGAGCCCGUGCCUCUCUUCCCCAGGGGGAGGGUUUGCACCAGCUCCGCGAGGCGCUGAAGAUUUUAGCAGAGAGGGUUUUAAUCUUGGAAACAAUGAUUGGGCUCUACGGCCAGUAGCUUCCAAACCCUCCUGCAGCAGCAGGCCCGGCUGGAGGUCCUGGCUAGAAGGGUCACCUUGCUGGAAGCCAUCAUCUGGCCAGAGCCAGAGCCAGGCUCGGGCAGCGGUGCCCCCGGCACGGCGACCCCUGGGGUGCCCCGUGGCAAGCGUGGCAGCGGCCACCCCCCCUACCGCAUCGUCACCGCCGCCCACCGCGCCCCCCCAGAGCCGUGACAGGGGUGGGGGCGUCACCCAGGCCACCCCCGCUGUGCCACCCUGGGGAGCAGGAUGGGCUCAGCCUCGUCCCCCCUCUUGGUGCUACUGGUGGCACGGCACCGUCCCCGCCACGACGCUUCGCCCCUAUCGCCGCUGCUUGAGCCCCCAGGAGGGCCAGGGGUGUGCCCAAGGCCGUUUCUGUCCCCCGGCCAAGGCGCAGCUCCGGGGGGAUGGGCUCUGUCUCAUCCCAUCCCCCCCGGGCACCCCAGCCCGGGGGAGGGGAUUGGGGGGGGCUGGCAGUGGGCACCCCCCAGGUGGGGACCCCGCUGCGCCACGCGCUUCGCUGCUUUGGGACCCGCCGGGUCAUUAAAUGUCCCCAAAUCCCUG